This 207-nucleotide long non-coding RNA is filed under the name Elaeis guineensis (African oil palm). Its description in RNAcentral is "long non-coding RNA (EGUI_LNC061638)". Lineage: Eukaryota; Viridiplantae; Streptophyta; Magnoliopsida; Arecales; Arecaceae. The record is from RNAcentral.
CAACAUAACCAUAAAUGAAAGUCAAGUCCCACUUAUUUAACAUGGUUGAAGAGCAACAUUAAGUUUCAUUUAACAUCCAUACUUUUACAUUAAGUUUACAGUACAUCCCAUUGCCACUUUCUUUUAGUCUAUACAUACUCCACCCAAAGUAUAACUCAACAUAGAAUACAAUCCUAAAAUAUAAUCUCCCAAAAUGAGCUCCCUACA